ACCAGGCUCAGUGGUGGUGCCUGUAAUCCCAGUUAGCAUGGAGGCUGAGGUGGAAGGAUUGCUUGAGCCCAGGAGUUCUGGGCUAUAGUGUGCUAUGCUGCUCAGGUGUUUGCAUUAAGUCCUGGGUGUGGGGGACCACCGGGUUGCCUAAGGAGGAGUGAACCGGCCCACACUGAAAACAGAGCAGGUUCAACUCCAGUGCUGACCAGUAGUAGGACUGUACUUGUGAACCACUGUACUCCAGCCUGGACAACACAGCAAGACUGCAUUUAA
Molecule: signal recognition particle RNA, 273 nt
Filed under: Carlito syrichta (Philippine tarsier)
Lineage: Eukaryota; Metazoa; Chordata; Mammalia; Primates; Tarsiidae
Description: Metazoan signal recognition particle RNA (ENSTSYG00000034429.1)
Rfam family: Metazoan signal recognition particle RNA
About the family: The signal recognition particle (SRP) is a universally conserved ribonucleoprotein.
Source: RNAcentral